AGAAUCAACGCUGGCGGCGUGCCUAACACAUGCAAGUCGAACGAGAAAGUGGAGCAAUCCACGAGUAAAGUGGCGCACGGGUGAGUAACACGUGACUAACCUACCCUUGAGUGGGGAAUAACUGAGGGAACCUUAGCUAAUACCGCAUAACACCUACGGGUCAAAGGAGCAAUUCGCUUAAGGAGGGGUCGCGGCAGAUUAGUUAGUUGGCGGGUAAUGGCCCACCAAGACAGUGAUCUGUA
RNAcentral lists this ribosomal RNA (242 nucleotides) under uncultured bacterium. RNAcentral describes it as "partial small subunit ribosomal RNA". It matches the Rfam family "Bacterial small subunit ribosomal RNA", at positions 26 to 285 of the family's 1533-position model. The record is from RNAcentral.